GCGGUAUUUUGACCGUGCUAAGGUAGCAUAAUCAAUUGUUUUUUAAUUGAAAACUAGUAUGAACGGUUUAAUUUACUUAAUUAGUUUGUAAUUUUUAAUAGUAAGUUAAAUAUAAAGUAAGAAUUCUUUAAUAAAUUAGGGGACGAUAAGACCCUAAAAGCUUUAUGAUUGGCAUUUAAUUAGUGAUAGCGGUGUUAUUAAUUCACUGGGGCAGUGAGUUUAGGUAUAUUUAAGUAUAAUUAAAAGCUCCUUUAAAUAAAGAUUUCAUGUAUAAGUUACUUUAGGGAUAACAGUGCAAUAUAUUUGGGGAGACCAUAUCUAUAAAUAUGAUUGCAACCUCGAUGUUGAAAUUAAAAUA
Molecule: ribosomal RNA, 358 nt
Filed under: Dikerogammarus haemobaphes
Lineage: Eukaryota; Metazoa; Arthropoda; Malacostraca; Amphipoda; Gammaridae
Description: partial 16S ribosomal RNA
Source: RNAcentral